This 233-nucleotide long non-coding RNA is filed under the name Mytilus galloprovincialis (Mediterranean mussel). The record is from RNAcentral. Lineage: Eukaryota; Metazoa; Mollusca; Bivalvia; Mytilida; Mytilidae.
GAUGGUAAGGAUAGGUUCGGACAAUGCUCUAAUUCACUAAAUAUCCUUUAUCUCUUGAAUUUUGCCUAAAAUUCUUGUCGGCUUUUAGCAGGAUUCUGCAGGUGAGCAAUAGAUUGGUAUCAGAGCAUCACAUUUUUUGCCUUAUUUACAAUGCAUUUAUAAAUUUUUAAAUCUCCAUGCUGGACAGACACCCACAUUUAAAGGUUUUCUAUAUAUUUACAUAAGCACGCACA